CCGCUUAUUGAUAUGCUUAAGUUCAGCGGGUAGUCCUACCUGAUUCGAGGUCAACCUGGAGAAAUAGUUGGUUGCUUUUCAGCGUCGGCCAGCGCCGGCCGGGCCUACAAGAGCGGGUGACAAAGCCCCAUACGCUCGAGGACCGGACGCGGUGCCGCCGCUGCCUUUCGGGCCCGUCCCCGGGGGGACGACGACCCAACACACAAGCCGUGCUUGAGGGCAGCAAUGACGCUCGGACAGGCAUACCCCCCGGAAUACCAGGGGGUGCAAUGUGCGUUCAAAGACUCGAUGAUUCACUGAAUUCUGCAAUUCACAUUAAUUAUCGCAUUUCGCUGCGUUCUUCAUCGAUGCCAAGGUACGGAC
Molecule: unclassified non-coding RNA, 363 nt
Filed under: uncultured Aspergillus
Lineage: Eukaryota; Fungi; Ascomycota; Eurotiomycetes; Eurotiales; Aspergillaceae
Description: sequence contains ITS1
Source: RNAcentral